Misgurnus anguillicaudatus (oriental weatherfish) is the source of this 395-nucleotide non-coding RNA. The record is from RefSeq and is a predicted model, not a curated record. Lineage: Eukaryota; Metazoa; Chordata; Actinopteri; Cypriniformes; Cobitidae.
GCUGUAGAAAAGGCCCCAAAGUUAUGCUAGAGUUGUUAUUAUUUAUUCAAUCAUGCUUUAUGUUUCAUGUUUUCUGCCGUUUAUUCAGUGCUUGUAACAGAGUAGGAAAGUGCGCACUGGUUUGUGUAUUUUAUCUGAUGUCACGCAGUUAGUAUGCAGUACGGUAGAGAUAGACGUUCGUUGUCACGCACUUAGUAUGCAGUAUGAUAGAGAUAGGCGUUCGUCAUUACAGUUAAUAUUCAGUACUACAGAGAUUGUCUGUCGGUUCGGACAUAAUGGCGGGUGUCAUUUUUCCUCAGAGUGUGCGUGAAUGUGAAAAAAACCACACACUGUAUUCAAAUUGCAUUUAAACUCACUCAUACAAGAAAAGGAGAAUAAACAGAACAUUAAGAAUA